RNAcentral lists this small nucleolar RNA (94 nucleotides) under Ornithorhynchus anatinus (platypus). RNAcentral describes it as "C/D box snoRNA Oa1989". It matches the Rfam family "Small nucleolar RNA SNORD14". From Rfam's summary of the family: U14 small nucleolar RNA (U14 snoRNA) is required for early cleavages of eukaryotic precursor rRNAs. The record is from RNAcentral. Lineage: Eukaryota; Metazoa; Chordata; Mammalia; Monotremata; Ornithorhynchidae.
GAUCGCUGUGAUGAGUAUUUCCAAAACCAUUCGUAGUUUCCACCAGAAGUUGACUAAUGAUGGCAAAGUACCUUCCUUGGAUGUCUGAGCGAUC